Molecule: ribosomal RNA, 253 nt
Filed under: uncultured bacterium
Lineage: Bacteria
Description: partial 16S ribosomal RNA
Rfam family: Bacterial small subunit ribosomal RNA
Source: RNAcentral
UACGGAGGGUGCAAGCGUUAAUCGGAAUUACUGGGCGUAAAGCGCACGCAGGCGGUUUGUUAAGUCCGCUGUGAAAUCCCCGGGCUCAACCUGGGAACUGCAUUUGAAACUGGCAGGCUUGAGUCUCGUAGAGGGGGGUAGAAUUCCAGGUGUAGCGGUGAAAUGCGUAGAGAUCUGGAGGAAUACCGAUGGCGAAGGCAGCCCCCUGGACAAAGACCGACGCUCAGGUGCGAAAGCGUGGGGAGCAAACAGG